This 17-nucleotide ribosomal RNA is filed under the name Lagenidium sp. PWL-2010e. Its description in RNAcentral is "partial large subunit ribosomal RNA". The record is from RNAcentral. Lineage: Eukaryota; Oomycota; Peronosporomycetes; Pythiales; Pythiaceae.
ACCUGAUAUCAGGCAAG